ACCAGAGAUGGUUUCGUGCUCGAAAGAGAACCUGCACACAGGUGCUGCAUGGCUGUCGUCAGCUCGUGUCGUGAGAUGUUGGGUUAAGUCCCGCAACGAGCGCAACCCUUGCCAUCAGUUGCUACGAAAGGGCACUCUGAUGGGACUGCCGGUGACAAACCGGAGGAAGUGGGGAUGACGUCAAGUCCUCAUGGCCCUUAUAGGUGGGGCUACACACGUCAUACAAUGGCCGGUACAAAGGGCAGCCAACCCGCGAGGGGGAGCCAAUCCCAUAAAGCCGGUCGUAGUCCGGAUCGCAGUCUGCAACUCGACUGCGUGAAGUCGGAAUCGCUAGUAAUCGUGGAUCAGCAUGUCACGGUGAAUACGUUCCCGGGUCUU
This 378-nucleotide ribosomal RNA is filed under the name uncultured Hydrogenophaga sp. RNAcentral describes it as "bacterial SSU rRNA". It matches the Rfam family "Bacterial small subunit ribosomal RNA", at positions 999 to 1382 of the family's 1533-position model. Lineage: Bacteria; Pseudomonadati; Pseudomonadota; Betaproteobacteria; Burkholderiales; Comamonadaceae. The record is from RNAcentral.